CGGGUGAGUAACGCGUGGGUAACCUGCCUCAUACAGGGGGAUAACAGUUAGAAAUGACUGCUAAUACCGCAUAAGCGCACAGAAUCGCAUGAUUCGGUGUGAAAAACUCCGGUGGUAUGAGAUGGACCCGCGUCUGAUUAGCUAGUUGGUGGGGUAAGGGCCUACCAAGGCGACGAUCAGUAGCCGACCUGAGAGGGUGAUCGGCCACAUUGGGACUGAGACACGGCCCAAACUCCUACGGGAGGCAGCAG
This 251-nucleotide ribosomal RNA is filed under the name uncultured bacterium. RNAcentral's name for it is "partial 16S ribosomal RNA". It matches the Rfam family "Bacterial small subunit ribosomal RNA", at positions 103 to 354 of the family's 1533-position model. The record is from RNAcentral.